RNAcentral lists this ribosomal RNA (497 nucleotides) under uncultured bacterium. RNAcentral describes it as "partial 16S ribosomal RNA". It matches the Rfam family "Bacterial small subunit ribosomal RNA", at positions 28 to 507 of the family's 1533-position model. The record is from RNAcentral.
GACGAACGCUGGCGGCGUGCCUAAUACAUGCAAGUUGAGCGCUGAAGGUUGGUACUUGUACCGACUGGAUGAGCAGCGAACGGGUGAGUAACGCGUGGGGAAUCUGCCUUUGAGCGGGGGACAACAUUUGGAAACGAAUGCUAAUACCGCAUAAAAACUUUAAACACAAGUUUUAAGUUUGAAAGAUGCAAUUGCAUCACUCAAAGAUGAUCCCGCGUUGUAUUAGCUAGUUGGUGAGGUAAAGGCUCACCAAGGCGAUGAUACAUAGCCGACCUGAGAGGGUGAUCGGCCACAUUGGGACUGAGACAUGGCCCAAACUCCUACGGGAGGCAGCAGUAGGGAAUCUUCGGCAAUGGACGAAAGGCUGACCGAGCAACGCCGCGUGAGUGAAGAAGGUUUUCGGAUCGUAAAACUCUGUUGGUAGAGAAGAACGUUGGUGAGAGUGGAAAGCUCAUCAAGUGACGGUAACUACCCAGAAAGGGACGGCUAACUACGUG